UGGGGAAUCUUGCGCAAUGGGCGAAAGCCUGACGCAGCGACGCCGCGUGAGUGAUGAAGGCCUUCGGGUUGUAAAGCUCUGUGGAGAGGGACGAAUAAGGGCUGGCUAACAUCCAGCUUGAUGACGGUACCUCUUUAGCAAGCACCGGCUAACUCUUUGCCAGCAGCCGCGGUAAGACAGAGGGUGCAAACGUUGUUCGGAAUUACUGGGCGUAAAGCGCGUGUAGGCUGCUUCGCAAGUCGGGUGUGAAAGCCCUGGGCUCAACCUAGGAAGUGCACUCGAAACUGCGAAGCUGGAGUCCUGGAGAGGAAGGCGGAAUUCUCGGUGUAGAGGUGAAAUUCGUAGAUAUCGAGAGGAACACCGGUGGCGAAGGCGGCCUUCUGGACAGUGACUGACGCUGAGACGCGAAAGCGUGGGGAGCAAAC
RNAcentral lists this ribosomal RNA (425 nucleotides) under uncultured bacterium. Its description in RNAcentral is "bacterial SSU rRNA". It matches the Rfam family "Bacterial small subunit ribosomal RNA", at positions 355 to 773 of the family's 1533-position model. The record is from RNAcentral.